This 262-nucleotide long non-coding RNA is filed under the name Elaeis guineensis (African oil palm). RNAcentral's name for it is "long non-coding RNA (EGUI_LNC022172)". Lineage: Eukaryota; Viridiplantae; Streptophyta; Magnoliopsida; Arecales; Arecaceae. The record is from RNAcentral.
UGGAUAAGGAGCGUGCACUGGAGAGAUUUGGAGAUGCAUUCUGCUUAGCUCGUCAAUCGAUGAGGAGCGCACAUUCGACAAACUCUAUAAAAAUAUCUAGAUCUACAAGAUAGAGACUUUGAUUGCUAAUUCAAUGAAAAUUAUAAUUCAAGGAUAGCAAAUACAUAGAUUGUUAGAGUUCCAUCUAGCCGAUGAAGUCGAUACGCUCUCGAUCGCACCACUUCAUCAAUGCGAGAUGGGAUUUCCUAGUUUAGUGCAAGCU